UCAUCGGCAACUCCACUCCUCUCCCAAACUCUAUUCUCCAAAUUAUCUUUUAGCCAAAAAAAUCAAACAAAAUUACCAUAAGUUUAUUACUUCAUGAAGUAAAUAAGAUAUGAUCUUUGGUUUUUUAAUGGCUAUAAAUGUUUUCUUAUCCUCUUAUCUUAUCAACAACAUCUUAACAUAGAGACUAAUCAACAUUACAAACAAUUUUACUUCAAGAAACCAAAACAUGAGCCAAUCAUCACACAACCACAUUAAACCAAAACAAAACAAAAUAAAACUCCUUUUCUUCUCUGCAAAUUGCCAUCUGUUUUUCCUAUAGACCCAUUGUCCUCCUCUCAUUUCUCUCUUUCCCCAUUUAAUCUUAUUUUCAAAAAAAAAAAAAAUCACAUCUCUAUAUCACCACACAAAAAACCAUAAAAUCAAAAAUCGUUACCCACAUUUCUUUCAUUCUAUCCUAAAUCCUCAUCACUCAACCUGAGCUCACAAAGCUAAACAAAAAAAAAAGAGCUUAGGCGGAGAAGAAGAGGAGACCAAAACACCAAACAAACAACAAUGGCUGUCUCAACUAUCUACUCAACACAAGCUCUCAAUUCAACUCAUUUCUUAACCUCUUCUUCCUCCUCCAAACAAGUCUUCCUCUACCGUCGUCAACCACAAACCAACCGUAGAUUCAACACACUCAUCACUUGCGCACAAGAAACCAUCGUGAUCGGACUAGCUGCUGACUCUGGCUGCGGCAAAAGUACCUUUAUGCGGAGGCUCACCAGCGUCUUUGGUGGCGCUGCUAAGCCACCAAAAGGCGGGAACCCU
This 810-nucleotide long non-coding RNA is filed under the name Arabidopsis thaliana (thale cress). RNAcentral describes it as "long non-coding RNA (ATHA_LNC000540)". The record is from RNAcentral. Lineage: Eukaryota; Viridiplantae; Streptophyta; Magnoliopsida; Brassicales; Brassicaceae.